GAUGAACGCUGGCGGCGUGCCUAAUACAUGCAAGUCGAGCGAACAGACGAGGAGCUUGCUCCUCUGACGUUAGCGGCGGACGGGUGAGUAACACGUGGAUAACCUACCUAUAAGACUGGGAUAACUUCGGGAAACCGGAGCUAAUACCGGAUAAUAUAUUGAACCGCAUGGUUCAAUAGUGAAAGACGGUUUUGCUGUCACUUAUAGAUGGAUCCGCGCCGCAUUAGCUAGUUGGUAAGGUAACGGCUUACCAAGGCAACGAUGCGUAGCCGACCUGAGAGGGUGAUCGGCCACCCUGGAACUGAGACACGGUCCAGACUCCUACGGGAGGCAGCAGUAGGGAAUCUUACGCAAUGGGCGAAAGCCUGACGGAGCAACGCCGCGUGAGUGAUGAAGGUCUUCGGAUCGUAAAACUCUGUUAUUAGGGAAGAACAAAUGUGUAAGUAACUAUGCACGUCUUGACGGUACCUAAUCAGAAAGCCACGGCUAACUACGUG
RNAcentral lists this ribosomal RNA (497 nucleotides) under uncultured bacterium. RNAcentral's name for it is "partial 16S ribosomal RNA". It matches the Rfam family "Bacterial small subunit ribosomal RNA", at positions 28 to 507 of the family's 1533-position model. The record is from RNAcentral.